UCUAAACAAGGAUUGCCGAGAUCGGAUGGGGUUGUUUUUCUGAAGAGUUGCAGUAAAGCACUAUUGCUUUGAAAGGUAUCAAAGUUAGGGUUUUUGUCAAGAGUUGCAGUGAAAGAGUAUUGCUUUGAAAGGUAUCAAAGUUAGGGUUUUUCUCAAGAGUUGCAGUGAAAGAGUAUUGCUUUGAAAGAAUAUUCCGAAAAGAGAUUGAUGGAUCUCAAAAACCUGUCCUCCAGUUCUUCGGGCUACAGUUCAGUCUACCGCGGCGUUACUAAGCAUAGAUUGACAGGGAGAUAUGAAGCCCAUCUCGGGGUCGAAACCAAAGAGAAUACGAACCGCAAGAGUAAACAAGUCUAUCUCGGU
This is a long non-coding RNA of Cryptomeria japonica (Japanese cedar), 360 nucleotides long. RefSeq lists it as uncharacterized. Lineage: Eukaryota; Viridiplantae; Streptophyta; Pinopsida; Cupressales; Cupressaceae. The transcript has 4 exons. The record is from RefSeq and is a predicted model, not a curated record.